This 580-nucleotide ribosomal RNA is filed under the name uncultured bacterium. RNAcentral describes it as "bacterial SSU rRNA". It matches the Rfam family "Bacterial small subunit ribosomal RNA", at positions 338 to 916 of the family's 1533-position model. The record is from RNAcentral.
CCUACGGGAGGCAGCAGUAAGGAAUAUUGGUCAAUGGAGGCAACUCUGAACCAGCCAUGCCGCGUGCAGGAAGAAGGCCCUAUGGGUCGUAAACUGCUUUUGUACCAGAGAAAACCCGAGUACGUGUACUCGGUUGAUAGUAUGGUAAGAAUAAGCAUCGGCUAACUUCGUGCCAGCAGCCGCGGUAAGACGAAGGAUGCAAGCGUUAUCCGGAUUCAUUGGGUUUAAAGGGUGCGUAGGCGGACUGAUAAGUCAGUGGUGAAAUCUCUCGGCUUAACCGAGAAACUGCCAUUGAUACUGUUAGUCUAGAGUAUAGAUGACGUUGGCGGAAUAUGACAUGUAGUGGUGAAAUACUUAGAUAUGUCAUAGAACACCGAUUGCGAAGGCAGCUAACGAAACUAUAACUGACGCUGAGGCACGAAAGUGCGGGGAUCAAACAGGAUUAGAUACCCUGGUAGUCCGCACCGUAAACGAUGAUUACUCGUUGUUGGCAAUAUGACCGUCAGCGACCAAGCGAAAGCGAUAAGUAAUCCACCUGGGGAGUACGCCGGCAACGGUGAAACUUAAAUGAAAUUGACGG